AUUGAACGCUGGCGGCAUGCCUUACACAUGCAAGUCGAACGGCAGCAUAGGAGCUUGCUCCUGAUGGCGAGUGGCGAACGGGUGAGUAAUAUAUCGGAACGUGCCCUAGAGUGGGGGAUAACUAGUCGAAAGAGUAGCUAAUACCGCAUACGAGCUACGGAUGAAAGAUGGGGCAUGCAGAAACGCAUACUGCUGGAGCGGACGUUAUCUGAUUAGCUAGUUGGUGGGGUAAAAGCCUACCAAGGCAACGGUCAGUAGCUGGUCUGAGAGGACUACCAGCCACACUGGGACUGAGACACGGCCCAGACUCCUACGGGAGGCAGCAGUGGGGAAUUUUGGACAAUGGGGGCAACCCUGAUCCAGCAAUGCCGCGUGAGUGAAGAAGGCCUUCGGGUUGUAAAGCUCUUUUGUCAGGGAAGAAACGGUAGUAGCGAAUAACUACUACUAAUGACGGUACCUGAAGAAUAAGCACCGGCUAACUACGUGCCAGCAGCCGCAGUAA
Molecule: ribosomal RNA, 502 nt
Filed under: uncultured bacterium
Lineage: Bacteria
Description: partial 16S ribosomal RNA
Rfam family: Bacterial small subunit ribosomal RNA
Source: RNAcentral